CAGAUGGAGAGUAUUGAUGUAUAGCAGGGGAUCAGGCUUGCACCCUGGAUUAGCGGCGAAAGGGAGAGUAACGCGUAGAUACCUACCCUCAGAUCUGGGAUAGCGGCGGGAAACUGCCGGUAAUACCGGAUAAUGUCUCCGGACCAAAGGUGUGAUUAUAGUCUGGGGAUGGGUCUGCGUCCUACUAGCUUGUUGGUGGGGUAAUGGCCCACCAAGGCUUCGAUGGGUAGCGGGUGUGAGAGCAUGACCCGUCUCACUGGGACUGAGACACUGCAUAAGACACCUACGGGUGGCUGCAGUCGAGAAUCUUCCGCAAUGGACGAAAGUCUGACGGAGCGACGCCGCGUGCGGGAUGAAGGCCUUCGGGUUGUAAACCGCUGUCAGUUGGGAUUGAAAUGCAUAGGGGUUCUCCCCUGUGUUUGACCGAUCUUCAGAGGAAGCGCAGACAGUAAGUUCGUGCCAGCAGCCGCGGUAACACGAACUGCGCGAACGUUAUUCGGAAUCCACUGGGCUUAAAGAGUUCGUAGGCGGCCUGGUAAGUCGGGUGUGAAAUCCCUCAGAUUUAACUGAGGAAUUGCGCCCGAUACUGUCAGGCUUGAGGGGGAUAGAGGUGAGCGGAAUCUGAUGUGGAGCGGCGAAAUGCAUUGAUAUCAUCAGGAACACCGGUGGCGAAAGCGGCUCACUGGAUCUCUUCUGACGCUGAGGAACGAAAGCUAGGGGAGCGAACGGGAAGUAGAUACCCCGGUAGUCCUAGCUGUAAACGAUGAGCACUAGGUCGAGGAAACACCACAUUUUCUCGGCCGUAGCGAAAGUGUUAAGUGCUCCAUCUGAUAGAGUAUGGUCGUUAGGAUGAAACUCAAAGGAAUUGACGGGGGCUCACACAACAGUGUGGAGGAUGUGGCUUAAUUCGAGGCUACGCGAAGAACCUUAUCCUGGUCUUGAUAACAGUGCUUGGGUAUUACCUGAUGAAAGCAGGUAGUGCCUUUCGGGGAGCCCUUGCACAGGUGCUGCAUGGCUGUCGUCAGCUUAUGUCGUGAGAUGUCGGGUUAAGUCCCUUAACGAGCGAAACCCUUGUCCCUAGUUGCCAGCGAACAUGCCGGGGACUCUAGGGAGACUGCCGGUGUUAAACCGGAGGAUCCAGGUGGGGAUGACGUCAAGUACCUCAUGGCCUUUAUGAUCAGGGCUGUAUGACGUCCUACAAUGCGGCGUACAAAGGGAUGCCAACUCGCGAGAGCUAGCAAAUCCCAAAAAGCGUCGCCCAGUUCGGAUUGCAGGCUGCAACUCGCCUGCAUAUAAGCCGGAAUCGCUAAUCAAACGCGGGUCAGCAUACCGCGUUGAAUGUGUUCCAGUGAGCCUUACAG
Molecule: ribosomal RNA, 1361 nt
Filed under: uncultured bacterium
Lineage: Bacteria
Description: bacterial SSU rRNA
Rfam family: Bacterial small subunit ribosomal RNA
Source: RNAcentral